This 478-nucleotide ribosomal RNA is filed under the name Afroanthracites sp. S Pare. Its description in RNAcentral is "partial 16S ribosomal RNA". The record is from RNAcentral. Lineage: Eukaryota; Metazoa; Arthropoda; Insecta; Orthoptera; Tettigoniidae.
AAGUCGGGCCUGCCCACUGAGUAAUAGAAUUGCUAUAGUAUUUUAUCUAUACAAAGGUAGCAAUAAUUUGUCUUUUAAUGGGAGGCUGGUAGGAAUGGUUGGACGAAAAAUAAACUUUCUUUUAAAAUAUAUUGAAUUUUUUUUAUGUAAAAAAGCUAAAAUUUUAUUGUGGGACGAGAAGACCCUAAAGAAAUUUAUUAAUUUAUUAAAUAUUUUUACUAAGUUUAUUUUUAAUAUAUUACCAUUAUAUUAUGUUGGGGAGACAGCGAGCAGUAAUAAAGUUUUCAUCAGUCAAAGCGAAUUAUUGUAUUCAAUUGAUCCUUUUUUAAGAUCAAAAGAUAAAUUUACCAAAGGGAUUACAGCGUUAUUACUCAAGAGUUCUUAUAGAUGGAGUAGUUUGCGACCUCGAUGUUGGAUUAAAGGAAUAUUAAAGUGCAGGAGCUAUAUUAUUAAGUCUGUUCGACUUUAUAAUUCUUAC